AAGGGAGGUGGGUAACCUAACCCCGGGGUAGGGGUAACCCCUUAUCGAGGGGGUAACAGGCGGUCGGGGUAAUACGCUACCGGGGGGAUAACAGACAGGGUAACCCAUUUUUGGGCGGGGCCCCAGCGCGAAGCGCCCAGGGGGACCCCGACCUGUAGGAUUGCCCAUGUCCGUGUGUGUGUGUGUGUGUGUGUGUGUGUGUGUGUGUGUGUGUGUGUGUGUGUGUGUGUGUGUGUGUGUGUGUGUGUGUGUGUGUGUGUGUGUGUGUGUGUGUGUGUGUGUGUGUGUGUGUGUGUGUGUGUGUGUGUGUGUGUGUUCGUGUGUGUGUAAUGGACCAAACAUAAUAUCUCGC
Molecule: long non-coding RNA, 352 nt
Filed under: Volvox carteri
Lineage: Eukaryota; Viridiplantae; Chlorophyta; Chlorophyceae; Chlamydomonadales; Volvocaceae
Description: long non-coding RNA (VCAR_LNC001615)
Source: RNAcentral